CCUACGGGUGGCAGCAGUGAGGAAUAUUGGUCAAUGGACGAGAGUCUGAACCAGCCAAGUAGCGUGAAGGAUGACUGCCCUAUGGGUUGUAAACUUCUUUUAUAUGGGAAUAAAACAGGGUAUGCAUACCCUCUUGUAUGUACCAUAUGAAUAAGGAUCGGCUAACUCCGUGCCAGCAGCCGCGGUAAUACGGAGGAUCCGAGCGUUAUCCGGAUUUGUUGGGUUUAAAGGGAGCGUAGGUGGAUUGUUAAGUCAGUUGUGAAAGUUUGCGGCUCAACCGUAAAAUUGCAGUUGAAACUGGCAGUCUUGAGUACAGUAGAGGUGGGCGGAAUUCGUGGUGUAGCGGUGAAAUGCUUAGAUAGCACGAAGAACUCCGAUUGCGAAGGCAGCUUACUGGACUGCAACUGACACUGAUGCUCGAAAGUGUGGGUAUCAAACAGGAUUAGAUACCCUGGUAGUC
RNAcentral lists this ribosomal RNA (460 nucleotides) under uncultured bacterium. Its description in RNAcentral is "partial 16S ribosomal RNA". It matches the Rfam family "Bacterial small subunit ribosomal RNA", at positions 338 to 795 of the family's 1533-position model. The record is from RNAcentral.